GGAGUCUGGGCCGUGUCUCAGUCCCAAUGUGGCUGAUCGUCCUCUUAGACCAGCUAUGGAUCGUUGCCUUGGUCGGCCAUUACCUAACCAACUAGCUAAUCCAAUAUGGGCCGCUCUCUCAGCGUCUUGCGACUUUCUCCCGUAGGACUUAUGCGGUAUUGCUCUUCGUUUCCAAAGAAUAUUCCCCACUAAGAGAUACGUUCCCAUACAUUACUCACCCGUCCGCUACUGCUGUAUUGCUACAGCUGUUCAACUUGCAUGACUUAGGCCUGCCGCCAGCGUUCGUUCUGAGCCACUGAUCAAACUACU
Molecule: ribosomal RNA, 309 nt
Filed under: Alphaproteobacteria bacterium
Lineage: Bacteria; Pseudomonadati; Pseudomonadota; Alphaproteobacteria
Description: partial 16S ribosomal RNA
Source: RNAcentral